CCCACUCCUUGUGAAGCCGGUGGGACAGACCAUUCUCCACGGGCGGGGCUCGCGGGCCUCCGGUUCCCAGCCGGCCCGGCACUUGGUCCCCAUUUCCCCUGCGACAAAGACCAGAUGGAGAGGACACUUGAACUAGCCAGUGAGGGCAGUUGGCAGAUCUGCCCGAGUACCCCCGCCCUGCACCCCAAGGCUCGCAGCUCGGCCCGGAGUCCAGGCCCGGCGGGUGCGGAGCCGCCCAGCAGCUGUCCCCAAGACAGCGUCCCGGAUCCCCCUGGAAUGUGCCCGACUGCUCACUCGAAUCUCAGAGGAAGUCCUCCCCUGUCUCCCCCUGCGCUUCCUCUGCACACACAGGGGAGAGUCAGCGCGGAGCCCCGUGGACCAACGUGGGAAACAGAACCGUUCCAAGCCAUCUUUGGAGACUCCCUGCACCUCGCAGGACAGACUUUUCUCCAGCCACCUUCAGGAGAGAUCUGCUCUGUUCGUCAGACUGCCACAUUCCGUGAUACCCGCGAGCCUCCAGCCUGCCCGCAUCCGCAGCUGAAGAAACGGUGGGGAUCGUAAGGCUCAUUUGAUCAGCUAAAGCUGCGUUCGGGGAGGAGCAGGCGUGUGUGGGUCACCCGAGGCCGGCGCUGAGCACCCACCCUCGCCCUCGCGCGUCUCCCUGGGCUCCCUGCCCCCUCCUCUGCCCAGCCUAGCGCCGCAUUCCCUGGGGACGAGGCAGGGAUUGAGGGAGAACCUAAGGAGUAGCAGACACCGGGGCUGUGGCAGGUGGACCUGCCCACCUCCACUUCUGCAGUCCCCUGGGCACGGACCCUCCCGCCACCGCCAUCUUCCUGGCUGCCUCUUUCCCACUGCUGUCAUCUGCCUCUUCUCACCCCGGUCCACUGGGAAACACGCUCAGGGGCUCCUCUUCCUUCCUCACUAAGAAGCAUGCACAACCUCUCUGGAGGGUUGUAUGUUUUAAACCUCCCAAUAUUCAUGGGGAAAAGUAUGCCAAAAAACAAAUAAAACAAAAAACAAGCAGAGGAGUGUCAAAAAGCCUCAAGGACAUGCUGUCUCGGGUGUCCUUGGCCUGUGCUUCCUCCCCAACCCCACCCCCUUCAGGCCUUCUCCUUGUCCCCCAUGUGGGUCCAGGGGACCUGCCCUUCUGCCACAUGGUACCAGUGAGGAAGGGCUGGGAUUGUCUCAGCAAAUGUGGCAUGGAAGUGACUGAGCCUGCUGGACAGCCCAAGUCCAAGUCCUCGAGUCAUAGGGAGUCUAGCCUGGACACCCAUCAGGCACCCCCCAUGUCCUAAGAAACUGUCACCAAGCAUUGCAUCGGUUCAAAGGGAGCUACUAGGCCUCUGAUUUUCCAGUACAUGGAUUUUAACUCCUGUCACUCCAUCAGUGGAAUAUUUCUUUCUGAAAAUCUGCUGAGUGCCCUGCACACUGAAAUUGAGAAGCACAAGUCAAAUAAAGAGGAAGAAAUGGGGAAAGCACCUGGUAGGUGGCAGAAGGCCAGCACGCACUGUGUGGCCUGCUGCGUGGCCUUGGGCAAGGCCCUCACCUCCUCUGGGUUUCACACCCUUGCUGACUACCUUAGUCACUCAGCCUGCCGUAAUAGAACCCCAUAAUCUGGAUGGCUUAAACCUCAGACAUUUCUUUCUCACAGUUCUGGAAGCUGGGAAGCCUGAGAUCCAAGUGUCAGCAGAUUUGGCACCUGGUAAGGGCCCUUCUCCUGGCUGGAGUCUCCUCACUGCGUCUUCCUGUGACAGACAGAGUUCCGGGCCUCUUUCUCUUCUUACCAGGGCACUGACCCAUCUUGAGGGCCCCAUCCUCAUGACCUCAUCUAAACAUAAUCACCUCCCAAAGGCACUACCUCCUAAUUCCAUCCCAUUGCAGGUUAGGGUUUCAACAUAUGAAUACUGGGGGACACAAACAUUCAGUCCGUAGCACCUUUAUAAACAAGAGCAGUGGCCUGGACGUUCUCAGGACUGCAGUGCUGGACGGUGCUUCUGUACUCACCGGGAUCACAGCCCAGCGUGGCCCAGGGCCCAGCACUCGCAUAUUAACUGCCCUACUUUCAUUCCUAAAGCUCGCUUGCUGCUACUCUUAGUCCCCAAAGCACCUGGAUGGCAGUCUCCAGAGCCCCAGGCCCAGGUGGGAUUUGGGAGAGCCAGCUCUAGACCUCUCCUUAGUUUCCUAUUGUUAUUAUCUCAGCCUGAAAUACAGCCUAAAAUCCCCUGGAUACCCCUCAGAGUGUGGCUGUGGCUGCCUGUUAUCAAGAAAUGAGCCCCAAGAGCAGACAAUCGAUACCCACCCACUUCUCAUGUGGCAUUUGGAGGAGCUGCAGGUCCAGCUGCACAGGAUAAAGGCCAGAUGGCUUCCCCCCACCCCCACCCGGCCCCCGGCAUGGGAGGAGGAAGCGGCUGUCUCCCUGCAGCUAGCUGUGAGCACCUGUAAUUCACAAACUCCCAUGUGUCCUGGAAACACCAGCCAAUGAGGUCCCCAAGCAACCUGGCAGGCUAGUUUGGGGCACUCAGCCCUGAUCAGUUCUUGUGCUGACUCAUCCUCUGCAGUUGAUGGAGUUAGGGAUGUGAGGUUCUGCCUCACCACCCAGGGACAGGGGGCUCUUGUCAGCUCCGUAGACACCUAUCUGCGUGUGUUCAGGGAUGUGCAGGAUCGCUGGCCCCAUGGCCACUGAAGAGCUUGCCAGCAACACUCGGAUCCUCCCAGGACAGCCUCCAGCCCAGGCAGUCACCAAACUCUGUGGCAAAAAUCUCCAGGUCUCAAGGGCCGAUGAGGAUGCUGCACGCAGCCACUGCCACCUGCCUCUGGCUGGGGAUGGCACAGGGAAUAGAAUGGCAGGCAGGAACACCAGAGCAUGGUGGUCCAGAGUGGGCUUCAGGACCCAUCAGUCCUGGGUUCAAAUAUCAGUUAGCAGAUGCAGGCAGGUCUGUUACAAGGCAGGUCACCCAAGCUCACCGAGUCUCAGAUCCCUCCACUGCAAGAUGAUGUCAAUGGCUCCUCUUUAAAGAAUCCCGCUGAUGCCGGAAUGAGGUAGUAUAUUCAGCAUCUCCACUGGCGUCCGGCCAUGAUGGGCUCUCAGAAAUGGGUGUUAAGACUACCACCAUCCUGCCGAGGAGGAGAUGGGAUCUUUAUGCAGGAAGCCUUCAACUGUGGACUACAGCUCUCCAGAACUGGUGCGCCAGGCUCUUUCCGCCGCAUCUCCAGUGAACUCUACUGCCUCUCCGUCUUCAUCGGCGUGAGUGAAAGUGGCUUUCUGCUCCGUGAGGGUUUAAGCCAGAAAUAACACAUUGAUUGCAGCCACCCCUGAACUCCACAGACAGGACACCGCCCAUCUCAGCACACAAUCUCUGAAGUCAGGAGAGAGUUUCCUUCUUGAAACAGUGGCCUUCCUUGUCCAUCAAUUUAAAAAACAAUAUAGCAUCAGCUAUGCCAAAUGUGCAGUUCAGUGCAAACUUGCUCUGAGUCCACACACGCAUUUUUCCAGACGCAGUUAAAUGCAACCAAGCAGAGACCCACAGUGGAGCUAGCCCUGGACUCCCUGUUCCUGCUCCGCCCGCCGCCCUGCCCUGAGCCCCUUCGUCGCUGACACACAGGGCCACAGCAGCCCCACUGACCACCUCAUGCGCCACUCAGUCCCUUUCGGGCACCAGGCCUUGGCCUUGAUUUGCCUGCUCCACGGCAUUGGAAGUGAGUGGGCUGCAGGAGGCAGAGACAUAGGAUCAGCUGCAGAGAAUUAUGGCUGCAGCCCUGGGGGACAUCGUAGUGUGACAUUGCAGCAUGUGGGAUUCAGAUGACAAAAGCAGAUCCCCAUCUUGGGGCAGUGGGAUCUCCUGUAGGGAUUUAUAAAAUCACAUCUUUGGACUCAACCUGAGAGAUUUCCACCCAAUUUUGACCCAGUCUUCUCUAGGGGUGAAUAACGGUAUCUGCAUUUAACAAAGGUUCAUAAGUGAUUCCGCUGCAGAGCAAAGAAUGAAACCACCAGAUGGGAUCAUGGGAACAAUUAAUUGUCUGUAAUGAUAUGAGUCAACGAGCGGUAUUUCUCCUGCUUCCUGGGAGCAGAGCGAUGGACUCGUGACACUUGGGUGCUUUAAUAGUACAGAUUUUUCCUUAUUCAUACCCAGUGUUAUUUAGAGCAGAGCUGAACCUGAGACACCCAAAGUGUGAAUCACCUUCUAAAUACAGCUCAUGUCAUUUCAGAUAAAAAUCAUAUAGUCGUAGAAUCUGAGGGUUAUAAGAUAUCUUACAGGUCAUCUGGGUAACUUCUCUCUGUUCAAUUCCUGAGUGUCAUCUCCAAUAUCUCCUUCAAUUCAUCUUACACUCUUUACUGAAAUCUCUUAAAUGAACUAUUUGAUAAUAAGUAAAUUGCACCUCCUGUGAAAAAAAAAAUGUGGAUUCCACAGUGGGAUCUACAGCCCACUCCUUGCUGGGAGUGAGAACCUGCCACACAGUGCCUUCUUCCAGUCCCCGGCCCCCCGCACUCCAAAGCUGGCUGUCCCUGUGAGCACACUGCCUCUGCUACAGACUCAACUCUGCCCUUCCUACCUGUUGGGGUGUGGCCUACGCCUCCUCUGCCCACGUUGUGAUGCAGCAGACAGUGCAGUCUGAAAACAGGAGCUGAGCAUCUGCUUCUGCCUGGAGCCCUUACAGUCAUCGUCAGCCUAUCAGUCAGCCGGCCUCUCUCCCAGCCCCACCUGCCACAUUGAAAGAACAGCUUCUAAAUACAGCCUGGGAUCCUGGAUUAAAUCCUCAAACCAAAAAGAGAUAUUAAUGGAAAAACUGAUGAAAUCCAAAUAAAGUUCAGUUCAUGGCAAUGUGCCCAAGUCAAUCUCUUAGUUUUGACCAACGUACUACAAUUAUCCAAAAUAGUAACAUUA
Non-coding RNA from Microcebus murinus (gray mouse lemur), 4883 nucleotides. Lineage: Eukaryota; Metazoa; Chordata; Mammalia; Primates; Cheirogaleidae. The record is from RefSeq and is a predicted model, not a curated record.